RNAcentral lists this ribosomal RNA (253 nucleotides) under uncultured bacterium. Its description in RNAcentral is "partial 16S ribosomal RNA". It matches the Rfam family "Bacterial small subunit ribosomal RNA", at positions 524 to 776 of the family's 1533-position model. The record is from RNAcentral.
UACGUAGGGGGCAAGCGUUGUCCGGAAUUAUUGGGCGUAAAGAGCGCGUAGGCGGUCCGAUAAGUCGGCUGUGAAAGUCAGGGGCUCAACCCUUGGAAGCCGGCCGAUACUGCCGGGCUAGAGUCCGGAAGAGGCGAGUGGAACUCCUGGUGUAGCGGUGGAAUGCGCAGAUAUCAGGAAGAACACCAACGGCGAAGGCAGCUCGCUGGGACGGUACUGACGCUGAGACGCGAAAGCGUGGGGAGCGAACAGG